GGAUUACACAAGAACCUACCAUUUUUGUUGGGAAAAACAAAAAAAAUCAUCUUGAUGAGUGCGUGGGAACUUCUACAGCACAUAGAUUGUAUGAAUAUUGCAAAGGCCCUGUUUUCAUAACCCGUAAGAAUUGGACCAUAUCAGAAUCUGCUACUGCAUUAUGUCAAACUGGAGGAAGAUGGGAAUCAGAAUUUUUUUUAAGAGAAGCAAGAAUAUAGGCUCGUGUGAACGAAAACUGAUGCAGGAGAAAAAGGCUCCAAUCCAGAAGCAACUACAGGAGACUCAGUGCAAACGCAAAUCACCAUGGUCAGGGUCCCGUUCCUACGGAGCACAUUCGGAGUUGGAGCAAUGGGUUCAUGAUGGGCAAUAUCAGGA
Molecule: long non-coding RNA, 375 nt
Filed under: Olea europaea subsp. europaea
Lineage: Eukaryota; Viridiplantae; Streptophyta; Magnoliopsida; Lamiales; Oleaceae
Source: RNAcentral